GGCAGAAGCUGGGCGGGUUCAGUUAAGGAACCGGCUUGUGGCGAGUCUGCCCAGGAAGACCUCCAGAGUCUAUGAUGUGGAAACCGGGGCGCUCUCUUCCUCACCCCAGGAGGAGGGUCACCUGAGCGCCAUGAAAGACAGCAGUACAACGUGGACGAGCGCGUGCCGGCCGGGCUGCCUUUCUCAGCGUAUCCCUGAGGUCCACAGGCCGCCUCUCCCUCAGGAUCUGGAGGGUUGGUCACUGCCUGCGAUCACCAGUUCAAGCCCUACCAGCGUACAUGGAGGCAGUGUGUUUGUCCCCUGUUUGGGCACUAGGAGGCCAACCUUUUUUUGCAUCGCCCAUCCCAGAGGGACUGUUCUCUUCUUCUGAGGCUUUGCAAGGCUUUAGCUAUUUGGAAAAGGAUCUGUUGGUGGGAUCUGGGACUUUGUUCUCUGUAUUUUGAUCACUUCCUUUACCUCUCAAGACAUCCAGAACUCUACCCUCAGGGAGGAGAUUGGACCUUUAGGCAGCAGGAGAAAAGCCUAGCCUUCACAGGUCAUGGUUUUCUCAAAGGUCAAGUUUCACAUCACAUUGAAUAGAAAGGACAAGGCUGUGAGCUGUAGGCUUUCAGAUCAGUCAAGAAAAUGGGUCACUUCCCUUUGUCACUUUUAGUGUUUGUCCCAGAGCUCAGCUCUGACCCAAAGGCCUUUCCAAUUACCAUCAACAUAGAAACUUGGCUUUUCAUAUGGGGUAUUCUCCCUCUUUUAUGCACUUAUACACUGUCUUGUUUCUCAGAACUGGCCUCCCACGAAGGAGGACUGAAGGGCUCAAGAGGCCUGGUCAGUCAUCCAGGCCCAGUUAAAGCCCCUCAGCCCUAGGUCUAGUGGAGAGGUUUAAUAAAGACUGCAUGUGCUUUUGACUACUGAAA
This is a long non-coding RNA of Artibeus jamaicensis (Jamaican fruit-eating bat), 908 nucleotides long. RefSeq lists it as uncharacterized. The record is from RefSeq and is a predicted model, not a curated record. The transcript is spliced from 3 exons. Lineage: Eukaryota; Metazoa; Chordata; Mammalia; Chiroptera; Phyllostomidae.